CAGCCGCCGCGGGAAAACGUAGGUGGCGAGCGUUGUCCGGAAUUAUUGGGCGUAAAGGGCUCGCAGGCGGUUUCUUAAGUCUGAUGUGAAAGCCCCCGGCUCAACCGGGGAGGGUCAUUGGAAACUGGGAAACUUGAGUGCAGAAGAGGAGAGUGGAAUUCCACGUGUAGCGGUGAAAUGCGUAGAGAUGUGGAGGAACACCAGUGGCGAAGGCGACUCUCUGGUCUGUAACUGACGCUGAGGAGCGAAAGCGUGGGGAGCGAACAGGAUUAGAUACCCCAGUAGUCCCUGUCUCUUAUAA
RNAcentral lists this ribosomal RNA (301 nucleotides) under uncultured bacterium. Its description in RNAcentral is "partial 16S ribosomal RNA". It matches the Rfam family "Bacterial small subunit ribosomal RNA", at positions 509 to 809 of the family's 1533-position model. The record is from RNAcentral.